This 301-nucleotide ribosomal RNA is filed under the name uncultured bacterium. Its description in RNAcentral is "partial 16S ribosomal RNA". It matches the Rfam family "Bacterial small subunit ribosomal RNA", at positions 509 to 807 of the family's 1533-position model. The record is from RNAcentral.
CAGUAGCCGCGGUAAUACGAAGGGUGCAAGCGUUACUCGGAAUUACUGGGCGUAAAGCGUGCGUAGGUGGUGGUUUAAGUCCGUUGUGAAAGCCCUGGGCUCAACAUGGGAAUUGCAGUGGAUACUGGGUCACUAGAGUGUGGUAGAGGAUAGUGGAAUUUCCGGUGUAGCAGUGAAAUGCGUAGAGAUCGGAAGGAGCAUCUGUGGCGAAGGCGACUAUCUGGGCCAACACUGACACUGAGGCACGAAAGCGUGGGGAGCAAACAGGAUUAGAUACCCCAGUAGUCCCUGUCUCUUAUAC